Sapajus apella (tufted capuchin) is the source of this 377-nucleotide long non-coding RNA. RefSeq lists it as uncharacterized. The record is from RefSeq and is a predicted model, not a curated record. NCBI's taxonomy places the organism in Eukaryota, Metazoa, Chordata, Mammalia, Primates, Cebidae. The transcript is spliced from 3 exons.
GCCUCGCCGCGAGACCCUCCCCCGCGCCUGCCACCAAAGUCACAGAAAACUUUCACACCUCUCAUCUGACACUGUGGUCUGUCCGAGACGCCAAGCACUGGGGAAGUCUUCAACGUCAGAAUAUGGGUGGCGCCUGUUCUUCAGGGGGCGGGCAGGGGGAGCCCAGUGUUUAUCAAAACGGGUUGAUUUUCCACGGAACUACGGAGGGGGUAGUUCUGGAGAGAGAAAAGUUAACUAUCAAAAUAUCCAUAGCUUUAACACAAUAGAUGAAGGGUAAAAGCCGCUUGCUUCACUACAGAAACAAGAAAUCUUCAUCAAUUUCAGCAAAUAAUCCUUGCGUACCUACCAUGUGUCAGGCAAAAUAGACAAAGAUCCCC